UUCCUUCCCGCUGAGGCGGCCGAGCAGGAAGGAAGCUGCAUUGGCGUGGAGGCUGCCUCCGCCAUCCAGGCCAGCGGCAUGGGCUCUGUGCCAUGCUGAGACAGAGGAUGCUGAUGCUGCCGAAGACGAGGCAGCGUUGGCGGCUGCAACGUGAGUGGCAUAGGUGAGGAGGCCUUUCGGGAGUGGGGUGUGGUGUUCGUAUGGAGCCCCUGGUUGUCUCACGGACUAUUGACCACUAAUCUGCUGCCACCAACCAGGUUCCCCCCGGUAAAUCACUAAGUCUCAGUCAGGUUCUUAAGUUAACAAAGAAGAGUGUAAAGGUAAAGGUAAAGGGACCCCUGACCGUUAGGUCCAGACUCUGGGGUUGCGGCGCUCAUCUCGCUUUACUGGCUGAGGGAGCCGGCGUACAGCUUCCGGGUCAUGUGGCCAGCAUGACUAAGCCGCUUCUGGCGAACUAGAGCAGGGCACGGAAAUGCCGUUUACCUUCCCGCUGGAGUGGUACUUAUUUAUCUACUUGCACUUUGACAUGCUUUCGAACUGCUAGGUUAGCAGGAGCAGGGACUGAGCAAUGGGAGCUCAUCCCAUCACGGGGAUUCGAACCGCCGACCUUCCGAUCGGUAAAUCCUACAAAGAAGAGUGUAGUUUAUUUUAAACUUGAACUGCAUUCAAAGCGUUGUUACUCUUUACCUUCUUAGUCUUGUUUUAUCCUGUCUCUAACUCUUCUACCUCCCCUCACACAAGAACCAACUGCACUAACUGUCUCUCUAUUUCCAACUGUCAACUGCUUUCCCAACUGCCUUUCCCAACCAACCAACCAACCAACCAACCAACCAACCAACUAAAACUAACUAACCUCGGGCUAAGCCCUUUUAUAAACAGGUAGGCUCCGCCUCUGGCUUUUCUAUUGGUCUACCUAUUAACCCUUUCUCUCCCCCUGUACAGACAUUUCCAAAAGAACAGGCAAACGCCACAGGGGGGUGCUUUUGGGAGGUGGUGGGUCUGGCCCCCCACAGGUCUGAGGGACAGUGGACUUGCCCCCUCCUGAAAAAGUUUGCUGACCCCUGCAAUAGGGUGUACAAUAAUGUUGCCCCUGCUAAUCAGCUGUCAAAACAACCCCACAACAAAGGCGUAAAGUUUAUUCAAGGGCAAAAGAAAGACAUGCAGAAGCUUCCUUGUGCUGUUGUCCCACAAGGCUGCCUUUCUUAUAAAUGAAUGCCAGGCAGUUCAGGCAAGCUCAAACAGAAGCAGCUUCAUUUAAGUGCUGCAAACAAGAAGCCCUCCUUACUCCUAGGUCUCCAGGUCUGCACUUGCUUCCUCCUUCCCACCACAUGAUUUCCCCUCUUCCUAAUCAACACAUCUUUGCAUGAGAUUUUGUCUAAAAUACAUAUUUUUGCAAAGCAAUUUCUUCUUACAUCAUGCAUUUUUGCAUGCUGUUUUCAAUCAGCUCAUAUUGUUUGUUGUUCACGGAAGGCAGGCAGAGAAAACUGUCAGGGCAGGACAGAUCGGGAUGGCUGGUCCCAGGAAUAAGAGGGUAGAAGAGGGAGCCUGUAAAAAUAAAAGAAGUAAUAAACCUUCCAUAUUAAGUGAGGCACAAAAAAUCUCUCCUUGAAAGAGGCUGCUGGCUGAAAGGAACUGGACUGAAUUACAAGCUGUGGGGGCUGUAAUAUGAAAUCUAUUUGAGAAGUGGUGGAAGAGGGCUUGGGGUCAACAGACUCAUUUUGUUGAGGGCAUAUUUACAGAGGGCCUUUGAAUGACAAGGUCAAGGUAAAAGAAAAAGAAAAAGAGGGUAACUUAUUAUGUCCAUGGACUGCUCUGGAAAUGAGGGGAGCUGCUUCCAGUUUCCUCUGUGGAGUUGCCUCAUCAAAAUAUGAAAUAUUAGGCACUUUGGUCUCAGAGCUGCAUCCACAGAGUUCCUGAGAGCUGUGAUGUUCUUAAGCACCAGUCAUGAAAGUUAAACAUGGUAGACCUGGCAACUCUUUAUCUUUCUAUUCGCCACAAAAAUAAGCUUUGUUCUAGUGAGAAAGCAUAUGGCUAUAUUUAUUGUGACCCCAUACAGCCUGAGCAAAAAUAGAAGAGGACUGUCAUCCCUGGGGACUGACACAGGGCUCCCACUAGGUGGUGUUAAAGCCAGUUUGUGGUUCCUGGAUUUAAAAGACACAUACGGCAUCUUUUAUCCCGUUUGUUAUGUCUUUGGGCUUAUCCACACUUACAUUUCCUCUGGUUACAUUUUUUUUUUUUUUUUGGUCCAGAAUUUCCCCUACAAAAAUGCUUCUCUUGAUGAAAACCCAAACUGNNNNNNNNNNNNNNNNNNNNNNNNNNNNNNNNNNNNNNNNNNNNNNNNNNNNNNNNNNNNNNNNNNNNNNNNNNNNNNNNNNNNNNNNNNNNNNNNNNNNUAGCCAUGCCCAUUAAUUUCAGUGGGUAUACUCUGUGUCAAACUUAGUUGAAUACCACCCAGGGUUUCUUCUUUGUCGGGGGUGAGAGGACUGGAUAAUUUCAGCUAACUUGGUUCGAUGACUGAGCACACACAUCAAAGACAGGAAAUGCACUUGGAUGUAGAAUUGGGAAAUCUUACCACUGUCUGUUUCAAUAGCCUCAAGGUUUGAAAAGAGUUGAACACACACACACAGAGGCCACAAAGCGUGGGGUGCUGUGGAAGUUCUCCCACCGAUGUGUCCACAAAAGGCAAGCGAGAAAUGGCAAAGAAAAAGUGAACCGUUUCUUCGCUACAUUGAUGUCAUGGAUGAAAGAUGCAUCGGAGAGAAAAUACUUUUUGUCACUGUUGCUUGCUUGCUUGCUUUAAAAUACAACAGGCUUCUCAGUUCACAGGGCCAGAUCACCAACAUCACUCCAGCCAUCCUCCUCCUCUGUCCUAAUUCAAUAUGCAGGGAUGAUCUUACUUGAAAGUGGAUUAUAGGCUUGUAAAUCUAAUAGAGUAUUUCCUAUUUCCUCCUUGUGGUUUUUGCAGCAGCUAGGGCGCUUUCUGUUGAAGAGUGAUGAUUGACAAUUGUACUGAAGAAUCCCAGUGUUAUAAGGAAAACACAGAGCUCAGAGCCCAAAGUGGGUUGCAUAUAAAUACAAGAAUUAGAAUAAGAUAAUAAAUUAUUAUUAUUAGGGGCUUUCUUUUGCGUGUCCUAAAUCUUCCAACAAUUGGCUUCAUUGCAUGACCCCUGAGAGAGAGAGAGAGAGAGGGAGGAAAGCUUUCCCCUGUCCCCUUUCUCUACCCCAUGCAUAAGCUUGUCUCUCUCACCAUAUUUCUUCACCCUCCUGCAAAUAGUCACUUUCCCUUUAAGUUAAAAAGCCUCAGAUGCAGGGCCGGCUUCCCUAUGAGGCAGACUGAGGCAGCCGCCUCAGGCGGCAGAACCCAAGGGGCACCUCCAGAUGUGUCAUCCACUGCUGCUACAGAAACAAUGAGAAGCAGCUUGGCAGCUUCUGGAUAUUGUGAGAGCCCCACAAGAUCACAUGGAGGCCUCUGGAGGCCUCGCCGACGUCCUUGCCAGCAAGUCUUGGGAGUGGGGGGCUGAAUGCAGUGCAUGCCCAGGGCAGCACCUUUGCUUUUUGCCUCAGGCCGUGAAACAGGAUGGGUGGUCCCUGCUCAGAUGUAACCUGAGCAGGAGUUGCUUCAACUCCUUGGCCAUCUUGGUUGUCCUUUUUUGCUACCAUACAGUGGUACCUCAGGUUAAGAACUUAAAUCGUUCUGGAGGUCCGUUCUUAACCUGAAACUGUUCUUAACCUGAGGUACCACUUUAGCUAAUGGGGCCUCCUGCUCCCGCCGGUGCACGAUUUCUGUUCUCAUCCUGGGGCAAAGUUCUUAACCCGAGGUACUAUUCCUGGCUUAGCAGAGUCUGUAACCUGAAGCGUCUGUAACUUGAAGCAUCUGUAACCUGAGGUACCACUGUAUAUGUAUGUACAUUCUUAAGGAAAUCAGCCCUGAGUGCUCACUGGAAGGACAGAUCCUGAAGCUGAGACUCCAAUACUUUGGCCACCUCAUGAGAAGAGAAGACUCCCUGGAAAAGACCCUGAUGCUGGGAAAGAUGGAGGGCACAAGGAGAAGGGGAUGACAGAGGACGAGGUGUUUGGACAAUGUUCUCGAAGCUACUAGCAUGUGUUUGACCAAACUGCAGGAGGCAGUGGAAGACAGGAGUGCCUGGAGUGCUGUGGUCCAUGGGGUCAUGAAGAGUCAGACACGACUAAACAACAACAAAAUGUAUGUACACACUGGACACAUUAAUACUCAUUAAUACUCAACUAUCCUCAACCUGCAGGGUAAUGCCAGCAUUGCUCAGCUUCAGGUCUUCUGAGCAUUCCAGCCUCCAAGCGGUAUAAGUGCCACCUGGGAAAAGCAUCAUUUUUUAUCAGAGCAAUUGAUGGAAGGCAGAAGCUGAAAUUUUAUUAUUUAUUUAUUUCCUGGAUUUAUAUACCGCCCGAUACCCGGAGGUCUCAGGGUGGUUCACCAAAAAAUCAUGAUACAUAAAAUCAAAAUAAAAGCAAUGAUCCAAUAAUACCCCCCCCAAAAGAGCCACAUUUUAAAAGGGUAUGGGAUGUUGAUCAGGUCAACCAAAGCCCUGGUUAAAAAGGAACCCUGGGGAGAGCAUUCCACAGAUGGAGAGCCACUGCAGAGAAGUCCCCGUUCUCGUGUUGCCACCCUCCGGACCUUUCGAGGAAGGGGCACACGAAGGAGGGCCUCAGAAGAUGAUCUCAGGGUCUGGGUAGGUUCAUAUGGAAAGAGGCGAUCCUUGAGGUAUUGCGGUCCUGAGCCAUUUAAGGCUUUAUAGGUCAAAACCAGCACUUUGAAUUGGGCCCGGAAACUAAUUGGUAGCCAGUGCAGUCGGACCAGGAUCGGCCAGAAUGAAAUGCUUUGCUAUAGCCAUUUUAAAUUUCUGUUAGGCAAGUCACUGGCUUUAAUAAUAAUAAUAAUAAAUUUUAUUUAUAUCCCGCCCUCCCCAGCCGAAGCCGGGCUCAGGGCGGCUAACAACAAUAAAACAGUACAAAAGUAUAGCAUAAACAACAGUCUAAAAUCAUUCGUUAUAAAAUUCAUUAAUUCAAGCCACUGGCAACCAUUGGGCCAGAGCUCCGCGAAGAUUGCCGAGGGAGGGAGUCAGGCUGUGCCCUGGCCAAAGGCCUGGUGGAACAGCUCUGUCUUGCAGGCCCUGCGGAAAGAUGUCAAGUCCCGCAGGGCCCUGGUCUCUUGUGACAGAGUGUUCCACCAGAUCGGAGCCACAGCCGAAAAAGCCCUGGCUCUAGUUGAGGCCAGCCUAACUUCUCUGGGGCCUGGGACCUUCAAGAUGUUUUUAUUCGAAGACCGUAAGUUUCUCUGUGGGCCAUACCAGGAGAUUUUAGUGAUUAAAUACAUGCUACCACAAUCCAGAGCAAACUUGUCUGAAGUUCUGUUUGAGGAUUUCUAUGUCUACCUAAAACUCUACGUUGCAAGCUCAGCAUUUCUAAUAAUACCCCCCUACCCCAUUGCUUGCCUCCGAAAAUUGGGGAUGCUACGGAAUGUUUCAUCAAUCAAACCCACUCAGAUCGCAACCAAAUCUUUUGUAGACUGUUUCUGUUCAAUGCAUAUUUAUUGGUUCAGCAAAAAAGUAGGUGAGCCUCUCUGAUUAACCAUGUGAAGUAUCUGGGACGGCUGCAACUGGCGUACAAUUUUAGAUAAACACUCAAGGCAUAUGUUUAAAAAUUCAGAAAGCCGUCAUAACAUUUCACAGGCUACACAUUUCAGGCUGUUUUGAAAAAUCUUCAUUUCUGAAAGGGAAGACAAGACUUGUAAGAGCUGGAAGGAAGAUUCAGCCUAUAUUUUAAAUCUCAAAUGUAUAAUAGUUGAUGAUUCCCCCCUCACUAAGUAUUUGUAUUAUUUUAUUUUUUUCAGAUUUAGCUUUUUCGUGAGGUUUAGAUUUAGCUAUUUUGUGAGGCGGCGGCAGAACUUUAUUAAAUGGCAGCGCACAGUUCUUUAUAAAAAUGACAAAACAAUCACAACGAAAAGAAAACAAACAAUAAAAUCGCACAGCUAAAAAUUGAUUUUCGACUGUGUCAGCUUCCGCAUGUGCAACUAACUGUAAAAGUUCUUGAAGAAAUCCAGUCUGUUUUUAUUGUAAGUCGCCAUGAAUCACUUUUGUGGAAAAUAUAACAAAUUGAUAAUAUAACAGUAACAAUAAUAUUUUACCAAUAGAAAAGAAAUAUUACCGACCAGUUUUUGUUAAAUUCUUUUUUCUUGCCUUUUAAAAUAAAGUCAAGUUGCAAAAAGCAAGAUUGUAAUGUGCGCACACAAGUCAUUAGCAGUCAAUUCAAUAUGAAUAAAGUAAUAUCACAAUGAAUAAAAUAAAAUCACAUCUGUGUAGGUCACCAAAUGUUUGUCUAAAUGAAAAGGGUUCCACUGCCCCCUAAAACCACUAGUUAGGUAAAGGAUGCCUGGACGGUUAAGUCCAGCCAAAGUUAACUAAGGGGUGUGGCACUCAUCUUGCUUCAGGCCGAGGGAGCUGGCGUUUUCCACAGACAGCUUUCCGGGUCAUGUGGCCAGCAUCAUUAAACAACUUCUGGCACAAUGGGACACUGUGACGGAAACCAGAGCACACAGAAACACUAUUUACCUUCCCACCACAGUGGUACCUAUUUAUCUACUUGCACUGGUGUGCUUUGAACUGCUAGGAUGGCAGGAGCUGGGACCGAGCAACGGGAGCUCACUCAGUCACGGGGAUUCGAACUGCCGACCUACCGAUCUGCAAGCCCAAGAGGCUCAGUGGUUUAGACCACAGGGCCACCCGGCUUAUCUGGAAAAGAAAUUCCACACCAUAGGGAGAACUGGCAAGAGGUUCUUUGUCCUGUGUUCUGAUGGACCCAUAGGCAGAAAUCACCUCCCCCCCAAAAAAAGUGGGGAGCGCUACCUGCUGUUUGAAAAGUUUGCUUCGCUUGUGCCCCUGCCCCACCUGAAUGUGCUCCAUCUCUCUCUCCAUCCUAUUUUUCUAGGCAGCUGAAAUAACAGAAUCUUCAUUUUCCUUUGCAUAACACAGAAUCCCAUUGUUUUGAAGUACGAAGCUUGCAAUGUGUGUGCAAAAUAAAGCAAGAAAGGGCAGGUGGGGGGCAUCAGACCUAGAGCCAAGAAAUGCUCUUAAGCCCUAACUUGCCAGAGGUAAACUUCGUGCCUUUACAAUACAAAGGAGCAGGCAAAUCCUGUUUACUGAUUGUUUGAAUUAAACUAAUCUGGAUUUGCCUUGAAGAGACUUGCCUUCCUCAACCAGAGCACCUGGGUUUUCAAAGGAGAAGCUAUGCUUCAUUUCAAACGCAAAACAACAUUUAACUAUCUGCAGACCUCAAUAUCCUUGCAUUCUUGAUAUGUGGCAAAUUCAGGGUGGAUUGUUCCAAUUAUAAAGAACGCAAGAAUGAGUCCUUCUGGAUCAGAACCAGAGACCCACCUGGUCUAACAUCCUGUUUUCAGAGUGGUCAACCAGAUGCAUAUGGGAAGCUCACAAGUAGGACCUGAGUGCAAGAAUACAUACUAUACUAUACAGAAAAUAGAAACUGCAUAGAGGUUCACUGCGAGAAGUGAUGUGACAGGGAACCAGGCAGAGGGCCUCCUCAGUGGUGGCACCCUCACUGUGAAACACCCUCCCAUCAGAUGUCAAAGAGAUAAAUAACUACACAACUUUUAGAAGACACCUGAAGGCAACCUUGUAUCAGGAUGCUUUCAAUGUUUGAUGUUUUAUUAGGUUUUUAUAUGUGUUGGAAGCCGCCCAGAGUGGCUGGGGCAACCCAGCCAGAUGGGCAGGGUAUAAAUAGAAUUAUAAUUAUAAUAAUUAUUUUAUUGCAACACACAACAUCACUCUCCCCACUGUGGUGUAGUGGUUAAGGAGCGAUAGACUCGUAAUCUGAUGAACCGGGUUUGCGUCUCCACUCCUCCACAUGCAGCUGCUGGGUGACCUUGGGCCAGUCACACUUCUUUGAAGUCUCUCAGCCCCACUCACCUCACAGAGUGUUUGUUGUGGGGGAGGAAGGGAAAGGAGAAUGUUAGCCGCUUUGAGACUCCUUCGGGUAGUGAUAAAGCGGGGAUAUAAAAUCCAAACUCUUCUUCUUCUUGUGAUUCCUAGCAGCUAGCUCCAGCUGUGUUAAGUAGAACAUAGUGGGUCAAUGACUACAAGCCAGAAUGGCUAUUUAUUUGUCUAGUUCACUUUAAUUGUCAAAGUGCGAUGUGAACAAAUAUCUAGGCUGAUAGUGAGCUUCUUGUGAAAUGGUUAUAUCAUUGCAUGUUCAGUUUUUACUAUACCGUUGUAGAAACUCUGUCUGGAAAUCUUCUUGGGUAGAACAGUAAAACUUGGCCACAGUAUUGGUUAAUUGUACGAUUCAUUCACAAAGAUUACCUCAACUUCUGUUGUUAAUGCUGUAUUGUUUUUAAUAUUUGAUUGGGAGCCGCCCAGAGUGGCUGGGGAAACUCAGCCAGAAGGGCAGGGUAUAAAUAAUAAAUUACUAUUAUUAUUGUUACAGUAACUGGCGUAAAAAAAGGCCCGUGACCCCCUCCUCAAUGUCAGACUAUAACUACUAUCAUCUGUGACCACUGACCCUGCUGGCUGGGGCUGAUGGGAGAUGGAGUCCCGAUACCCCUGUAUGGCCACAGUUACCCAACUCCUGGGUGGAAUCUAGACACACAUAAAAAAAAUUGUGAAAACGCUUUUUUUAAAAAAAAACUUUUGGAAAAUAUAUUGAAUUUGCCAUAGCUCACCAUCACCAUCUAGUGUCAAAUUUGUAUAAUGCACUUUACAACACACUUAAAACGUUUUAUUUUUCAGCUGUGUAGCUGAGUCCCUGAUUUGCACCGCCCACAGUCAUUUACACAAUUUGCUCCUCCAGCAACUCCUCCAGCAAUUGAUCUACCUACCAUUUUAAUCUCAAUUAAACAGGGAGAGGGAGUGCUUUCAAAUGACGGGAAAUAGGAUUAUUACAUUGCUCAACAUGGCAAAAGAAGCCUUUGACAGCUCCUUCCCUUAGAGGAACAGAUUUCAAGUUGGCGUUGUUCUUUAUAGUUACACCGGUGGCGUGUUAAAAGAGCAGCGUUUACAGCUGAAGCAGGAUGAAACUGACAAGACCAUAUGUCUUUCCCUGUCUUCAAGGUUACUUCUGUUUUCAAGUGAGGUUCUGACAAUGUUAUCCCUUCUUAAGGCUUCAGUAGCAGCCGCAGUUGGAGAUUAAAAUCUUAAAGAGCAUUUAAUUGUCAGUUACCAGACUGGACUAGAAAGGAAUUUCCACCUAUAUUGUAUUAAAAAAAAUAGAUAAAAUUAAUUUGCAAUAGUUUCACCAGUAAGGACUAAUUUAAAGAAGAAUACUUGGAAGGUAAUUUAAUGAUCAGCAGUUUUAACUGGGGCUGUGAAUGGCUUUCCCAAUCUGACUUGGGAACCCAAUCUGGUGGUUCUGAAUUGACCCUGUUCUGACACAGGACAAUCUGAGGUUUACCCAAUCUGGAUCCGAGACAUUGGCCAAAUAUAGAACCACAGACUGUUGUUGUUUAGUCGUUUAGUCGUGUCCGACUCUUCGUGACCCCAUGGACCAGAGCAUUCCAGGCACUCCUGUCUUCCACUGCCUCCCGCAGUUUGGUCAAACUCAUGUUGGUAACUUCGAGAACACAGUGAGAGCUGGACCAUAAAGAAGGCUGAUCGCCGAAGAAUUGAUGCUUUUGAAUUAUGGUGCUGGAGGAGACUCUUGAGAGUCCCAUGGACUGCAAGAAGAUCAAACCUCUCCAUUCUGAAGGAAAUCAGCCCUGAGUGCUCACUGGAAGGACAGAUCGUGAAGCUGAGACUCCAAUACUUUGGCCACUUCAUGAGAAGAGAAGACUCCCUGGAAAAGACCCUGAUGUUGGGAAAGAUGGAGGGCACAAGGAGAAGGGGACGACAGAGGACGAGAUGGUUGGACAGUGUUCUCGAAGCUACCAGCAUGAGUUUGACCAAGCUGCAGGAGGCAGUGGAAGACAGGAGUGCCUGGCGUGCUCUGGUCCAUGGGGUCACAAAGAGUCGUGACUAAACGACUAAACAACAAUUCCAAUUGCAGUUUGUCAGGGGUUGAGCAAUCCUGUUUACGUAGCUCAAGAUCAAGCUUGAGCCAAGGCCAAAGGGUUGUUGACCCCCUUUCAGGUCAGAAUAGAUGUUUGCUGGGCUUCAUUUGUUCAGAAGUCAGGCCACCCUUCUCCCCUCUCACCCCUGAUAAUCUUCUUGCUUCUUAGAAACUCCCUCACCCUUCCCACUCUGACGAUCUCCCUGCCUAACUGAAGAAGGCAAUCAGCUAUAAUAAUACUAAUAAUUUUAUUAUUUAUACCCUACCCAUCUGUCUGGGUUUCCCUAGCCACUCUGGGCAGCUUACAACAUAUCUAAAAACAUAAUAAAAGCAUCAAUCCUUUAAAACUUCCCUAAACAGGGCUGCCUCAGAUGUCUUCUAAAAGUCAGAUAGUUGUUUAUUUCCUUGACAUCCACAGAGGGGACUCUACUGCCCUCUGCCUGGUUCCUCUGCCUGGUUCCCUGUAACUUUGCUUCUCUCAGUGAGGGAACCAGCAGAAGGCCCUCAGAGGAGAACCAAAGGCAGAACGAUGGGGGUGGAGACACUCCUUCAGGUAAACUGGGCCGAGGCCAUUUAGGGCUUUAAAGGUCAGUACCAACACAUUGGAAGACAGAAGUGCCUGGCAUGCUCUGGUCCAUGGGGUCACAAAGAGUCGGACAUGACUAAACGACUAAACAACAACAACAACCAACACUUUGAAUUGUGCUUGGAAACGUACUGGGAGCCAAUGUAGGUCUUUCAGGACCAGUGGUAUAUGGUCUCAGAGGCCACUCCCAGUCACCAGUCUAGCUGCCACAUUGUGGAUUAGUUGUAGUUUCCGAGUCACCUUCAAAGGUAGCAUUGCAGUUGUCCAAGCGGGAGAUAACCAGAGCAUGCACCACUCUAGUGAAACAGUCUGCGGGCAGGUAGGGUCUCAGCCUGUGUACCAGAUGGAGCUGGUAGACAGAAUUGACCUCCAUGGACAGCUGUGAGUCCAAAAUGACUCACUGGCUGCACACCUGGUCUUUCAGGGGCACAGCUACCCCAUUCAGGUUUAGGGAGUCCUCCACCCCCUCCUGUACCCUGUCCCCCAAAAACCAUACUUCUGUUUUGUCAGGAUUCAACCUCAAUCUGUUAGCCACCAUCCACCCGCCAACCGCCUCUGUCAGCAAAUGAAUGAGCACAGGUGGCACGAUGAUCCAUUAGUCCUCCCGUAUGGAACACCUGCUGCAAUUUCCUUUGUAGUUACAACUUGGCGACAGCUGGUCUCGUAACAGUUUCACUCUGUGGAGAAGAGAUGCCUGGUAUGCGGCUGAAAUAAAAAUGGAUGCGUGUGCCAAGUGUUCGAUUGAGUUGUCCUCUCCCCACGAGGCCCAGGACUCAAAGACCUUUUGCCAAGUUGAUGUGAAGUUGCAGGCACUUAGAACCUUUGAAGGUCAAGCUUCAGGCAUUAAGGAUUUUGUACACUUGUAGGUCUAAGCUAGUGAGUUUCAGUGUCUCAUCUUGAAUUUCUGGUCCUACUCUUGGGAUUUUAACAACUGUCUGGCACAGAGAAAUUAAGUGGACAACCUAUUUGUCCUUCAUUUUGGGUGCUUCCAAAUGGGGGAUUUAUAUUGUAAACAGGUUGUUUGAAUGUCACAAACCAGGAGAAAUGGCAGGAACUUGAGAUGGGAGGGGUGAAAAGGUGGUGGUGGGGAUAUUUCAUGCUGAUGGACAGCUUUUCAUCACAGUGAAUUAUUUCCAGGGCACUUCAGUCUCAGUGAUUUGCAGAGGAGAAUAAAAACUAUUUGUUUUUGUUUUUUUGCAUGGAUCUAUGAUUUCCUCAAUCAGCCCUGAGUGCUCACUGGAAGGACAGAUCCUGAAGCUGAGGCUCCAAUACUUUGGCCACCUCAUGAGAAGAGAAGACUCCCUGGAAAAGACCCUGAUGUUGGGAAAGAUGGAGGGCACAAGGAGAAGGGGACGACAGAGGACGAGAUGGCUGGACAGUGUUCUCGAAGCUACCAACAUGAGUUUGACCAAACUGCGGGAGGCAGUGGAAGACAGGAGUGCCUGGCGUGCACUGGUCCAUGGGGUCACAAAGAGUCGGACGCAACUAAACAACAACAACAAAUGAUUUCCUCUGUGCAUGCCAAAUGGGGUGAUCACUCCCCCCCUCCCAGGAGGAAGAGACUGUAUCCCUGAAUAGCCACCUGUGGUGUACGGGCUGAAGAAAGCUUUUGAAGCUCCCGAACAAUCGACCAGGAGGGAGAGAGCAUGCCAGUCAGGGAUGUGUCUCUGCCAGGGUCCUACUCGAGUGUAGGAUGAGCUCCUGACAGUAUCUGCCCGGAAUAUGACAGGGUUCAUCCAUGCUAAGGGAGCUGCUAUGGCUGAAAAUUUAAUCCAGUUGUGGGAGGGUGGGAGGUUGCAGUUAUUUUUUAGAUUUUAGAAAAACUCUUACUCAGUACCUAACAAUGUCAAAGAAUCAUAAAUUGUAGAGUUAGAAGGGACCCCGAGGGUCAUCUACUUUAACCCCUGGCAAUGCAGGAAUCUCAGCUAAGUGCAUCCACGACAGAUGGCCAUCCAACAUGUGCUUAAAAACCUCUAAGGAAAGAGAGUCCACAAAAUUUAGGGGCUGAACAGACAUUUGGAGUUUCAGGAAUAGUAUGUGAGCAGUACACAAUUUCGGCCGAAAGCUGAAAUAGAUGUGCUUUAAAAGUGCUUAGCUUUUGCCAGAUCAUACAAAUCAUCUUUAUAAAAUUUGUUGGUACCCAAAAAAUUGAAUUUUGGGGUUUUUAGCUGGAAUAUAUAAAAAGGAUGUAAUCAAAAGUCCUGCGGUCGAUGAGGACUUGUUAUUUUCCAUUACAAAAGUGCUCCAGAAGCACAUGGGAAAUCCUUAUUGCAAUGUUCAUUAUGACAGCAGGGAAGUCCCUGAGUACUACCCUUUCCAUGGAGAUACACACACACACACACACACACACACACACGUAUACACACACACCUGAUGAAUCCUGCAGCAAAGUCCAAUCUGUGUUUUUUUAAUAAGUUCACCUGACAUCCAUAAAGCAUGCUGCCAAGUAAACAUGCACAAGAUUUCACCCGAAGGAUAAUUUCCAAGUACAUUUCAAGAAAAACCCAGCUGGCAGCCUUACUCUGUGAUUAUGGGAUGAAAAGACAGUAUUCUGGAGCAGAGAGGUGCAUGUUUACACAAUGCGUCUACUGUAUUUUGUGCAGAGGGCACAGGUUAUAUUUGAGACAGCCAGAUGCAAUCUGUUGUCGAUCAGAGUUGAAGAUGGUGGCUGCUGAAUAGCUGUCUUCAGACAAUAUACAUUUGAUUAACUAGAGCUCAGCAUCCACCUUGGAUGGUUUUCCCUUUUUCUUUUCUGUUAAUUUUUUUUAUACAUAAAAUCAUCUGUGUGUCCUCUUUGUAUUAAGCCCCCUGCACUCCUUAGCUGAAUUAAAAUUGUCUGUCUGCGGCGAGAUGAGACAAUAUGAAGAAUUCAGAGGGAUUACGGUAAUUAUUCAAAAUUGCAUUGUGGAAAGGUAAACAGCCGCAAACAGCUGUUGGGACAAGUUAUUCAGGUGCUUGUUUUUUUCACUUUUGAGGUAGGGGAGGAGGAGGAGGAGGAGAAGAAGAAGAAGAAAUCAGCCCAUUUUGUUGUUGCCAAGUCAAAUGUGUGAAGGCUGUGAAAAACAGGAGAAUUUAUUUAAGGGAAACAAUUGGCAGGGUAUCUGAGUCAAGGAGCACCUCUCUGUGGGACAAGGCAAGAUGAACAUUCCAGGGCAUCGUGGUAAAAAGACACGAUGGUUUGAAUGUACAGAAGACAGGGUUAGGGAGAAGUGGAUUUCUCUGCUCCCUUCACUGCGCUGCAGUUCCCUGAAAAGACUCCUUCAAGGAAUGUGGGAGCCAGAGAUGCCAACUUGAAUAAAAUAUCCCCCUCCAAUAAUCAAUGACAAGACAUGGGACAUGCACACCAUUUGAAUGGCAAUGCCCAUCAACUUUGGGGGACACUGGGCCCCCUCAAAUAUUUUACUGGGGUGGCUGAAGGGACCUCAGCCCCUAGGAGUUGGCUCCUAUGGUGGGACCCUUUGAAUGGGGUGGGCUUUGGUGUGAGGUAGGGCAGAACAUGGAAGGAGGGAGGUGGAGGUUACAUCUUCUGUUUUGGGGAAAGUGUCUUCCACCUGAUUUCACAGUAUCCCCUCCCCUUUCCCUCUCAGCUCCCCAUAUCACUGUUGGGAUAUAGUUCCGUUCCCUCUUAAAAGGGAACAGGCAUGACUGUUGUGUGUCACAUGCCUGUUUACUUCCAGCACUUGCUGGGAACUUCCGUUUGUAUAUUGCUUUUGCUUUUAGCUGUUUUGCUGGAGACGAAGGGAAGCAGACAUGUUUUCCUUUGUUCCUGAACUAUGCUGAAUAAAAUGCUGUAGAUAAUGCUUACACAUGGCUCUGUCCGCCUCUUCCAUUGUGAGAAGAUUUAUUCACUCUGCUGAUAGAGCGUGCACAAGUCUCUAAACAUAUCCGAGGCUCAUGUCGCUGUUUGAUGCUGUUCCAAGGGAGACCGGUGAUCGCCCGGCUGCCGGCCAGUGGCUGGAGCCAGCUGGGGGCCUGCCUGAUGCCCCCGUCUCCCCGGCAGUAUCCCAAGAUGCAUUUCUCUUCAGCCAGUUCUGUUUCUAUAAAUGUGAGGUUGAAUGUCUUACGCAGUUAAACAUGUCAGCUGGAAAAAAGAGACACUCUUGCGCAUUCCCAUAUCCAUGCAGUUGGGGGCAGUGUUGCUUGGGGGGAGCCUGGUCUCUUUGCCAGAAGUGAGGGACCCCUCCCCCCCAAUGCCUGGCCUUGCACUCUCUGCAGCAGGGUAAGCCAAUGUAACCACAUCGUAACCUUCCAGACAUUGCUGGACUACAAAUCUUAACAUCCCUGACCAUUGGCCGUGCUGGCUGGGGCUGAUGGGAGUUGUAGUUCAACUGCAUCUGGAGGGCACCCCAUUGGCUGGCCCUGCUCUAGAGCCAGCCCAGGCUUCAAAGCUGCAAAGUGAUGGAAAAGCCAAAUUUAAACAGAUGUUGGCCAUGACCUCCACCACUUCAUAUGUAUCUUGAAGCAAUAAGCAGCUUUCCUGUUAGCACUUCCCCUCUUAAAAUAUUUGCUUUUGCCAGAGGGUGUUGCUGUAGCGUUUAGGAGGGAUGCAGGUCCACAAAGCCGUGAUUGCUCUUUAGUGCUCUGGUUUCUCCCCAGCCGUUUACUUUUCCACCCACUUUUCAAGGGAUCCAAUAUUUGCAUGUCUCUUCUCAUCACCCGGAGAGUCAUCAGCUACUGCUGUGCCUUUAUUACUGUUUUGGACAACCAUUUCUAGGACAACUUCUUGAAAGUGCUCUCACAAACCACCUUCCUUGAGCAAAGGCACACCAUCUGUGGGAGUCAGGGGUGUACCAGUUGAAAUUAUUUCUUAUACAGUGGUACCUUGGGUACUUAAUUCGUUCCGGAGGUCCGUUCUUAACCUGAAACUGUUCUUAACCUGAAGUACCACUUUACCAGAUGGGGCUUCCUGCUGCUGUCGCGCCGCCGGAACACGAUUUCUGUUCUCAUCCUGAAGCAAAGUUCUUAACCUGAAGCACUAUUUCUGGGUUAGCGGAGUCUGUAGCCUGAAGCGUAUGUAAUCUGAAGCGUCUGUAACCUGAGGUACCACUGUAAUCCCACCAAAUGGCCACACUAAUGUUUUUCUCUUGCUCCUGAUGCUCACCUCAAUCAUUCUCGACCGUUUAAAGCCCUACCCACAAGCCCCAGGAAGAUGAUGUAAACCGGAAAGAAAUCUCUGGGAUAGCUUAAUUGGCAGAGCAUGAGGCUGUUAAUCUCAGGGAUGUGGGUUCUUCAAGCUCCAUGUUGGGCAAAAGAACUGCCUGCAUUGCAGAUGGUUGGAACAGACAACCUUUGAGGUCUCUUCCAACUCUGUGAUUCUGAAGGAUUUUAUUGCUGCUGUCAUCCUAGUACAGGGAUAGGGGAACCUGUGGUCCUCCACAUGUUGCUGAACAACACCUUCCAUCAUCUCUGGUCACUGAGUUAUGUUCCCUGGGAUUGAUGGGAGCUGCAUCUCAUUCAGCAACAUCUGAGGUUAGUCACCUCUGUCUUUAUGCCUUACUGUUGUGUUUUAAAGUCCAUUGUUCUGGCUGAUCCGUGAUCAUAAUAAAUAUUAGAUUGGAAAGUGCAUUGCCAAAGAAAUGUGGAAGAUACGAUACAUAUUGAAUUUAUAAAUGAUGGUGAUGCUGAUAAUAAUAAUAAUAAUAAUAAUAAUAAUAAUAAUAAUUAAUAAUAGUGCAGCUACACCAACUUCCCACCCUCUUUUCUCCUCUGCCCCUCCCAAAAUUUGCUUCACUGGCAAACAGCUUACCUGUCAAUCAUUUAGUGGAAGAAUAAUGUUCCAAGAAUAAUAGAGAGAGGAAAAUUCACUUAGGUGAAUGGUUUACUAAAACAUGUCCAUCUCUUAUUCAGAUCAUCUUCAUAUUAUUUGUAGCAGGCAUCAACCGGUAAUGCAAUCAUUUUUUCAGAGAUGAGAUUUGGCAGGGAGACGGUCGGAGAUUAUUUUUGCAAGGAGUGUCCCUCUUUUAGUUACGUGGCAAGUCUCUAAAAACUGGUAACUAGAUCAGGAAGGCGUUUUUGUGCAACUUUCCUUUCAUGAUAUCCUCUCAAUGCCAUUACUGUACAGCAUCAAGGUGACCUGCAAGAUGACCUGCAGAAUCGAGCAACAACUUCUCUUUCAUUCUUUCUGACAAUGGCUUGCAUAUUACUCAAUGGCAAGGUGGACAGUGGGAUGUUGCUUUUGUGUGGUGGCUAUUUUUAUGGACCUCUGGUUGGUUGCAUUACUUCUGCUUACCAGGAGGGAGAGGCAAUGGGCAAGGUUGGCGUGGUGCAAACACACCAGCUAAACCCACCCAGAGUUUCUGCCAGUGCAUUUGCACCCCAACGACCUCGCUGCUUCUUCCCCUCUACGUCCUGGUAAGCACCGCAAUUCAAAACAAUCAAACACCAGGUGAAUGGCUCCUCUCUCACCAUGCCAUCUGCUACUGGCAAGAGUUGGCUUCCUGAUUUGGGUGUCCACUAUUCAACUCUUGCUUUCAAAGGAAAUAAUGACUGCAAAAUUUAACUUAAUUGUGAGUUACAUUCAGCCAAGUCCUACUCAGUGUAGACCCAUUAAGAUCAACGAAGCAAACUUAAACAUGCCCAUUUUAUUUAAAUACAGUCGUACCUCAGAAGUCAAACGCCUUGCGAGUCAAACGUUUUGGCUCCCGAAUGGUGCAAACCCUGAAGUGAGUGUUCUGGUUUGUGAAUGUUCUUUCAGAACCUGAACGUCCGACAUGGCUUCUGCAGCUUCCGAUUGGCUGCAGGAGGUUCCUGCAGCCAAUUGGAAGCCGCGUCUUAGUUUCUGAACGUUUUGGAAGUCGAACGGACUUCCCGAACAGAUUACGUUCGACUUCCGAGGUACAACUGUACAAAAAUAUUUAUAUACUGCUAUUAGUUUUUUUUUUAAAUAAAUCCAGAGCGGUUUACAAUGAAAGUACAUAAACAUGCAGUAAAAACUGCAUUAAAAAGUUGAAAUCAAUCAUUAACAUCAAUGGGUCUCUUCUGAGCAGUACUAGCAUUGAAUGCCCCUGUCACAAAGUAGUGUGUGAAUCAGAUCUUCUGGUUGUACAGACCAUCAAGCUUAAAAAAUUAAUAAGUUAUAGAGAAUCACCUGACCCAAUUUGGCAAUUAGUAUAAAGAGGCAUCUUGGGUCAAGGCUGUCGCGAAUUCUUUGCGGCGCUUUAGCAGAAAUGCUCAAGUCCCAGGUUCUUCAGUGCAGUAUUAUUUAUUGUGAGCUAUAUACAGUGGUACCUCGGGUUAAGUACUUAAUUCGUUCCGGAGGUCCGUUCUUAACCUGAAACUGUUCUUAACCUGAAGUACCACUUUAGCUAAUGGUGCCUCCCACUGCCGCCGCGCCGCCAGAGCAUGAUUUCUGUUCUCAUCCUGAAGCAAAGUUCUUAACCUAAAGCACUAUUUCUGGGUUAGCAGAGUCUGUAACCUGAAGCGUAUGUAACCUGAAGCGUAUGUAACCCGAGGUACCACUGUAUAUACCAAUAUCUAUAGAAGCAGUUCAGACAGUCAGACAGAGUACUUGGCUGCACCUUAAGGCAAAUAGGAAGACUCUUUCUCUCUGACCACACUCCUCUACACCACCAUUACUGCUGGACAGGUUUCCCUUUUAAACCGAUGACAGCCAAUCAACUGUCAGCACAUUACUACUGAGUCAUUCUGACCCAGCACCUCCAUAGAAAGUAUUGCAUCAGCCUGUUGCAUCAACUAGCAAACUCAAGCCUGUAGACUUACUAUCUUACACAGCAUUCUGUGAAUCCCGACAAAGGCUGCCACCUUCCCUGACAUCCUUCAGGCAACAGAUCAAGGCCUAUUGUGGAUUUGAGUUCUGAUAUAUGCCAUUGAUUAUACCAUAUCUCUGAUAGUGGCAAUACAUAACGCCCCCACAGUGUGAUCUUGAAUUAUUUCUGGUCCCUCAAAAGUUCCUUGUUCCCCUCUCAUGUUAUUCAACAUGGACCCACUGAAUAGCUUUGUGUGUUGGAGUAUGGACUUGAUCAUGACAUCAUCUUCCACAUAUUAAAGUGUAGAAUGAAUAGAUGACCCCUUUUCUGACCAAAUUGAGACGUCCAUGCUUUUAUUAAAGCACUAAUUUUCUAUUAUGUAGAUAAAAUCUACUCUAAAAUCAAAGCACUCUCUUCCUGUAAUAAUGCUGAUUUUUUUUGAUUAUUAUUAUUUAAAUGAAUGGCAGCCAAAGGUUAUGCAUGAAUUUUAAUUAUCCAUUAUAAUAUGGAAUUUGUUUUAGGCAAAAACUGUAGUUUUUAUACAGAGGCAGAUUUAGGGGAGCGCAACCAGUUCAUCCGCACCCACUCUGCCUCAGAGGGUUGCUGCAGGGGGUGCUGUAGCAAUGACGGGAAAAUGGAAGGUGAGAGGCGAGGGGGGAGGCGAAUUUUGGCAUCGCCUCUGAAAUGUUAAAGCCCAAAGUCUGCCACUGGUUGUAUAUCUGGCUUGGAAAAAUAAAGCUAAGCUGUAAUAAUGACUGACAUCUAUAGGAUUCCUCGUUUGUAUGGCCUUCGUAUACAAAAGUUUGCUUAACUAACUGAGCAAUCUUAACCAUAGGAAGUCAGUGUAACUUACCCUGGCAUAAGGUAAAGGGACCCCUGACCAUUAGGUCCAGUCGCAGACGACUUUGGGGUUGCGGCGCUCAUCUCGCUUUAUUGGCCGAGGGAGCCAGCGUACAGCUUCCGGGUCAUGUGGCCAGCAUGACUAAGCCACUUCUGGUGAACUGGAGCAGCACAUGGAAACGCCGUUUAUAUUCCCGCCGGAGCAGUACCUAUUUAUCUACUUGCACUUUGACGUGUUUUCGAACUGCUAGGUUAGCAGGAGCAGGGACCGAGCAACGGGAGCUUACGCCGUCACGGGGAUUCGAACCGCCAACCUUCUGAUCAGCAAGUCCUAGGCUCUGUGGUUUAACCCACAGCGCCACCCACAUACCCUGGCAUAAGUUACCCCUAUUCCAAAUUCCUGUUAGGAGCCUCAGCUGCUAUUAAUCUUAAAAAAAAUGUAAAAAUCUUUAAAAAUUUAAAGCACUGGGAACUUCAGUCAUGGAUUUCCAAUUGUCAUGUCUAGUUGAGCUCCAAGAGUGUUGGCAAUGUUUAAAGACUUUGGGUUGCAUUCGGCUAAGUCCUACAUAAAGUUAACAAACCUAAGUUAGUCCUGUACAUUAACUUCAGUGGGUCUACUCUGAGUAGGACUAGCAUUAAUACCACCCAUUUACUGAACGUGUUUUGUUUUUUUAAAACACACCUUGAUUAAUCUGCAGGAAAAGUACAAGUUAAUUUAAAUCGAUUUCACAUAUCAAAUUGAUCUCCCAUGGGAUGAAAUAUAAGGAAUCAAUGUUUCCGUACAGCUUUAUUCUGAGGAUAUUAGGUUGCAAUUGAUGUGUUUGUGGUGUGGAGCCUCAGCUGAUACAAAGCAAGUCUUGACUCCUCACAUCAGAACAAUAGAAUAAAACAAAGUUGGGGAGUCUCGGGUCUGAGGAUUGAUUGUGGCCCCCCAAUCUCCAUAUCAGGCCCUUGGGACUGUUCCCUGGGUUAUGCCCUCUCCCAGGACACCAGCCUUUCUCUGGAUCUUCCUUAAGUACUUUUGCCUUGUUGCUGAACCAUAAUAAUGCUUUUUGCUUGCCUGGAUGGAGGAUGUAAAAGUGUGUGUGUGUGUGUGUGUGUGUGUGUGUGUGUGUGUGUGUGUGAUUCCUGGAUUGCAGGGGGUUGGACUAGAUGACCAUAGCUGUCAACUUUUCCCUUUUCUUGUGAGGAAUCCUAUUCGGAAUAAGGGAAUUUCCCUUAAAAAAGGGGAAACGUUGACAGCUAUGUAGAUGAUCCUUCCAACUCUACAGUUCUAUGAUUCUGUAAUCACUGGCCCCCAGAAGGUUGUCCAUGGAAGAACAUGGCCCCUGGGCUGAUGAAAAUGAUCCUGCAGCAAAACACUAGAGCAUCGUGAAUAAAUGGAGGACAACUAAAAACCAAGCAGAGCAGAAUAACCUCACUUGGAGGCAGAAUCAACAGGGCUUGCUAACUUCCCUUCCUGUGGCUCUCCUUGAUAAGAAACAGCUGGAACAAGACCUGGCUGGAAUGAGACUCAGCUGUAGACCAUUGAGCUUCAGGACUCCUAUUAAUUCAGAAGAGGUGUGUCUGGCAAGCAGGGAGAAACUGGCAAAUGGGGGAAAACACUUGGAGAAGGCUGGAGUGACUAGCUGGUGGCAGGACUUGGUGUACGGCCGCAGAGGAUACUUAGCUGCCCCCCAGAUGGGAACUUGCUCAGAAGGAGGCUGAAGAAAGGACUCCCCCCCCCCACAAGUCCCAGAAGGUGGGUAAGCAUUGCCACAAAUCCUUGUUGGCUAGAUAACUCUCCUUCAACCCUCCCGGACUUGGGACAGUCCUGGAAGGCAAGAGCAGGAUAUUCUAUCUUACGGUAUGCUAGCACCAGGAAAGGCUGAGCUAAAGCUUCCAGCCAAGGAACUGCUGGGCUAUAUUUAUGGGAUACCAAAGCGCUUGUGAGUGGACCCGCCAGCUGACUCCUGGGUAGGGGCAGCUGCCCGAAACGUUAAUCCAGGGAGGUUGCUUUAAGGCUCAGGGAGAUGCAUCUCUCGCAUUUUGAUGGGUGGCUGGUGGAGUGUGCUAUAUAACACUUAAUCCCCUAAUAAAAGCUGUGAACUGAACAUCCCUGUGGUCAUGGCUGUGUGUGGAAAUGAAAAAGAGGGCUGGGUAAUUAUAAUUAUAAUUCAUUAUUUAUAGCCCGCCCAUCUGGCUGGGUUUCCCCAGCCACUCUGGGUGGUUCCCAACAGAACAUAAAAAGAUCAACCAUUAAAAACUUUCCUAAACAGGGCUGCCUAAGUCAGGUUGUUGUUUAUUUCCUUGACAUCUGAUGGGAGGGCGUCCCACAGGGUGGGCGCCACUACCGAGAAGGUCCUCUGCCUGGUUCCCUGUAACCUCACAUCUCACAGUGAAGGAAACUGCCAGAAGGCCCUCAGAGCUGGACCUCAGUGUCCAGGCUGAACGAUGGGGGUGGAGACGCUCCUUCAGGUAUACAGGACCGAGGCCGUUUAGGGCUUUAAAGGUCAGCACCAACACUUUGAAUUGUGCUCGGAAAUGUACUGGGAGCCAAUGUAGGUUUUUCAGGACCGGUGUUGUAUGGUCUUGGCCGCUCCCAGUCACCAGUCUAGCUUCCACAUUCUGGAUUAAUUGCAGUUUCCGGGUCACCUUCAAAGGUAGCCCCACGUAGAGCGCAUUGCAGUAGUCCAAGCGGGAGAUAACCAGAGCAUGCACCACUCUGGUGAGACCGUCUGUGGGUAGGUAGGGUCUCAGCCUGCGUACCAGAUGGGGUUGAUAAACAGCUGCCCUGGACACAGAAUUGACCUGCGUCUCCAUGGACAGCUGUGAGUCCAAAAUGAUUCUGCUCAUGGAAGUCCAACAAUGGGAAGCCUGUAAGCAGAACCUGAGCACCACAGCACUCUUCUCACUUGCUGCUUCUGCCCUUUUGGCUAGACCAGGAAUGUGGUCAGAGAACCAUAGAGUAGGUACGUCUAGGACUGCACUAGAAGACUGCAGAGCCAAGAUGAAACUGCUGCGUACAGUUAAAGUGGUACAAACUUCACCUUCAUGUCACGUUGCCCCUCAAAUCCUCCUCUAAUAAUGAAAUCCUGCUUAGCGGUGGAAUAUCUACAGUGCGGUCAUGGCAUUGAGAGAAACGGGCCAGGUAUCCUGGGAGGAUUGUAAGAAAAUGAACAAAUAGCUGCUACUAUGAAUAACAAAUCAAGGAAGCUAUUUUGAGAUAUAUUGAAAGAAUGGAAAUUAGCGAAAGAUUAACGGAAGAAGCUGGAUAGCCAUAUUAUUCUUGGGCAUGGCAUAUUUUAUAAAGAUUUGCUGAACUAGCGAGCAAGGGAAGGGGAAAAAACCCAAUGUGAUUUUAUCUGGUUGUAAAGUAUAUGCAAAGCUAAUAGCAGCCGCAGCAUAAAUUUUAGUGCUCAGUAACUGGGUGAUGGAUAUUCUUUUUAGAUAUAGCAAAUAUGUUUAACUCCAGAAACGCCAGCUAGCAUGUGUCUCAGUGCUGCAAAUAAACUCACGGCAAGUGAUGAGUGACCCUGGUGGUUCUUGUUUUGGGGAGGGCCCCCCAAAAUACAGUAUGCUUUCCUGUUGACAUUUUGCUUAUAGUGAAAGCAAAGUUCCUCUGUUGUGUAUACAACAGUUGUGUAAAAUUCUUUCUCCUCCUCCCCUAGGCUUUUCAUUAAUUUUCAUAGGUAUUUAAUAGUUUUAUUAAUUUAGCAGCAGUGCUGUUUUAUAGAUUUAGAAAGAGCAUCCUCUUCACAUGUGAUGGUUUUAAUGUUGCUUUCUGUGGUUGCUGCUUCUGUUAUUUUGGUAUGGGGAAAUUUUAUAUAAUGGGGGAGUUUUUUUCUUCAAUGUUGGUUAGAAGAUGGAACUUUGCGGUUUUGAAUUUUGUGUUUUCGAUUUUGAAAAUGCAUCGCAAGGUGAACUGUCUUUGUUUUGACCUGAUAUCGCUGAGUUAGGCAGUUCCUCACAGAAGUGCCCUGUGCUGAAGGUUGCUUAUACAAAUCAUGCUAAUCUGUGCGCUUUUUAAAAGGCGAAAACUUGUGAAUCUGGUUAAUGCAGCAUGAAGCAUGGGAAACUGCCAGUAUUAAUUUGAGCAAUGGCCUCCAUUUAAGUCCAAUGAUCUGGUCGAUGCACAUUUUUCAGUUCUUGUGAACAGAUGUGGUUUUCGAAGAUGUGCGCACUUCAUCCCCAAUUGCUGUUAAUAUGGAAAUAUUUGGCACUCGGGCUCUGCUCUGGGAGAUAUGGUUCAGGGACAGGUUGCAGCAAGGGUCCAAAGUUGGGAAUACUGAAGGGUUGGUGGCUUCAACCCAGCAGGUCAGGCAGCAGUUGCUGCAACUUGGAUGGAAAGCUGAGGAGAGCUCCUCAAUCGUUGGGGGAAGAUGCAAAAGUCAUUGCCUCUGACCUGGUCUAUCCUGCCUCCCAGGAUUGUUGGGAAGAUAAAAUGAGGGAAAGGGGACCACAUACUCCCUCUUGAGCUCCCUGAGAUAUACUGGAGGUCAGAUAUAAACUUAAUAGAUAAAUCCACUUCUCCAGAGCCAGUCUUAUGAUAGCCUUUGUCUCUGAAUUGCAACAGAGUUGCACCAGCAAUUAUCAGAUGGAGCAAUUAUAUUUUUGCAUUGGGCUUGACCUCCCUGACGACCUCUUUUCAGUGUCUCUGCAAAUACUUGGGCCUCCUUAUUUGCCUGAGCCCUACUCUUUGAGGAGAUCCUCCUCACCACCUGCAACAAACAAAUUAAACUCCAGGCCACAUGAAGGGCCUGGGAACCACAACAGUGUUACAGCUGAGCUGGCGUAAUAUUCUCUCUCAUUAUGGGUCUAAUAUGGGAGAAGGCAAUCACCGUUAUCAUAUUCGUCAGAUGGAGGGACUUGAUGCAUCAUAAAUAACAUUAACUGAUGAUGAUUCUCCAAACGCUCGAACCGUUAAUUAUUGAAUCCUUAAUUAUUUGUUUCCAGACUGGGCUGGAAGGGUCCUUGCAUGAUCAGUCUUUUCAGUAUGGAAGAUAAAUAAAAGGCAUCCUGUCUUGCUUGUCCCUUGUUGGCAUAGAUUUCAUGUGUAAGUUUCUCUGUAAUGGCAAUUGUCCAACAUUUACUAUGGUGCUAGAGGUCAAUAGUAGGAGUCCUAUUGCUUCUCUAUUACCACAGGCCUGGCAGCAACUAUCUGCAGACACUCCCACCCAGGGGUGAAGGAAGGCGUUGUGACACCUGGGGCGGGCAUCGCUACGUAGGGUACAUGUGCGGCAUCACUACAUAUGACGCAUGCGCUGUACGUAGUGACACUGCACAUGCGCUGUACAUAGCGGUUUGCCGGCGCCACUGCUCCAGCGCCAUACGGACGAUGCCGGAAUCCUCUGCUCGUGGCUGCAGCCGCAAAUGGAGGAUCGUCCACAUGUGGCUGUGGCUGCGCGAUGGCUGGUUGCGCCACUGUGAGCCCCCGCAGGGUGACUUCUUGUCACCCCCGCAGACAUGGAACCUGGGGCACACCGCCCCCGGCCUCCCUGUUCCGAUGCCAUUGCUCCCACCACAGAGUAAGUUAGGGUUAAUGGACGUCCCCGGUUCCUGGGGACAGUCCCCAGAUUUGCAAAUCUGUUCCAGGACAAAUUCCGUCCCUGGAAUGUCCUCAGAUUUGCAAAUCUGUCUCUGGGAAACGUGGCAGCGGCAGCCUCAGCAGCCCGGAGCCAGCCUGGUAGCGCAGUUGGCUCUGGCUGGCUUCAGGAGCUGCUCGCUGCCCACUGCCGUGGCACCCACCAUUUUUUCUGCGCCACGGCAGCGAGCAGCUCCUGAAGCCAGCCAGAGCCAACUGAACUAUCAGGCUGGCCCCUCCUGGGCAACAGCCACCUGCCUGUGAUUCCUGAACCUUCCCUGAUCUGUCAAAACAAAGGGGGAAGCAGGAAGGAGAUCCAGGGAGGCGCGGGAGUCAUUUGCGGGUGGCACGCCGUUGCCCAGUUUUUUUAAGGUGUGAAAGAAGGGCUUUGCACCUUUAUACAAUAUGCAUGUGUGCUUGGGCCCAGGGUCUUUUGCCUCACCAUCCCCACUACUGACUCCCUGUUGCUACUCAGCUUCAAAAUAAAUAAAUAAAGUGUCCCCAGAUUCAUUGGAAAAAAAAUCUGGUAACCAUAAUGUAAGUGCCCAAUUAACUGCAACCCUUCAACAUUUGGGGCCAGUAGCACACAAUCUCACUGGAGUAGAAUGCCAUUAAUGGAUUGUGUCUUAAUAUUCUCUCUCUGACAUAACACAGAGAUUGCAGUGGCUUUGGAGUGUGCCUCAUCAUCUGGAGGGACCCUAUAUCUCCCUGAGGACAUUGCCAGGUGCUCUCUUCCUUAGCAGAGAGGGCCUCUUUGCGUGAGAACCUGAUGUGAAUGCAGAAGGGUGGUCCAAUUCCUGGCAUAUCUGGGGAAUACCUCUUGUACAAAACCCUGGAGCGCUACUGCAAGUCAGUGUAGACAGUACUGAGACAGACGGAGCAAUGGUCUAACUCGGUAUGGGGAAGAUGCCUAUGUUCCUAGAUGGGGGAGUGUUGAAACUGGAAACUUCUUUUGUCUUUUGCAGGCAUGGACCCAUUCUCAGUUCUUGAGGUGCCCAUCAUUCUGGAUGAAGGCCAUGGCACCAUGAAGAUAGCUGGUGUCGCCAUUCUGUUUUGGGGUCUUCUCCUACAGAGAUCAGGUGAUUGAUGCAGUAUAUAAGAGGUAAGACUGUCUACGUACUUUCACUAUGUGUUAUGUACUGAAUUGAAUAGGAUCCAAAAUGCAGCAGUCUGAUUGGUCCUAGAACAAUAGGAUUCAGAAUGCAGCAGUCUGAUUGGUCCUAGAACAAUAGGACCCAGAAUGCAGCAGUCUGAUUGGUCCACAGGAGCCACCCAAUCCAGCUCCAGGUGGAAGUGAAUCCGCAACCUGAUUGGCCUACAGGAGAAUCCCAGAAUUAGCCAAUCACGUGGGGCCUAUUGUGUAAAUAAUGUAUAUAAAGCAGACAUUCUGGGGGAACUUCCAUUCCUCCUCACCACUAUGAGCCGAAUAAAGAGCAUGAAAUCCACUCUCGACUCUGAGUGUAUUUCACUAUUUUUGCAUAACAACAGUGUGAUUAAAAAGGGUGUGUGUCCCCCAAUCCAUUCCACACAUUGAAAGAAGUACAGGGUUGCGCAGGCAAAGCCCGCCUUCUUCUACAUCGCCACCUUGCUACCUUGAUUCCUGCAUGCCAAAGCUACGCCAAGAGGCAUUCUACUUGUCUACUGAUAUAGGGGAGCUCUAGUCAUGUACAUGAGGAGGGACCCUGUUCUGAUGUAGCUUGAGCAGGUGGGUGUUGGGUGUUUGUGUGGGGCAGUGGCAUGCAGUGGUGGGGGCGCUGAGCUUCCCCGCGUGGCUUUUCAACCUCACCCACACCUUUCAACACAUGGAGGUGAGUCACAUGAGCCCCCUAAUAUGACCUACCAGGAAAAAAGGCUUUGAAAAUGUCAUAGGUAUGUGAUGCGCCUGUGUGCAUCCUUGCACCCCAAGAAAGCUGCUGCUCUACUUUCCUCUCCCUUUCAUAUUUCCCUUUAUUGAGAGAUGGACCCUGACAGAUAGUUGAAUGACUGCCCUCUGGACAGUAUCUUCAGUUGGAUGAGCUAAACAUUUGGGUAUUCUAAAGGAGAGACUUGAUGACACUUCCCCCAACUUCAUUAUCUGAGCAUCCUUUGAAUUCUAUAUCUGUCAACAUUGCUGUAUUAAAAAUUCAUCAGGUCUGGAGCAUUUAUUCCUGUAGUUAAAAUUGCUAUGGAGACUCCUUUUUUCCUUCCUUUUUUAUAACCCCCCCCCCAAUUUAUUGCUACUUCAUUUGGUGUGUAUUUUUAUUUUUUCCAUCCAUCACAAUCGGAGCUUGUCUAAUGUGGUUUUCAGAUGUUUCUCACAAAUGUGUGUGUGUUUUUCCAAAAGACUCGGAUAUUUUCAGAGUGUUGCCAGACUUGAUGACCAAGCAUUAAAGCAGAUUUGAGGAACCUGUGGCUCUCCAGAUGUUGUUGGAAUCCAAAUCCCAUCAGACCCAGCCAGUCCCACAACAUCUGGAGGUCCAUAGCUCGCUCCUCCCCUUCCGGCCUCAGACCCCUGUUCAGUUCUCUGUCAUUCACACUGUCUCUGCAUGAAAGAGUUGGGGGUUUUUUGCUUUGGGAAAACAUAUCCCAACUCUGAUAAUUUUAGAAAUACAACUCUGUGCAUUUGGGAGAGGGAUCUAUGUCAAUGUAGAGGAAGGGCAAGAUACACAUGUUAGAAUAGCCUUCCCCACACCUGACUCCCCAGAUGUUUCUGGAUUACAAUUCCCAAUGUUCCUGGCCAUUGGCCAGACUUGUUGGGGGCGGGGUAAAAGGAGUUGGAGUCCAGCAACAUCUGGGGACCCAAGGUUUGGGAAGAAUGUCUUAGAUAAAAAAACCCUAAAAAUGUACAGCUGGUGCAAAAUGCUGUGGCUGGCCGGAAGACUUUCUGGUAUAUGUUUUUCUUACAGUAUCACACCAAUCUGGCUUGUGAUUCAUUUCUGGGUACAAUUGCAGUGGCUUCUGAUUCAUUUCUUCAGAUGCAAUUAAAGGUGCUGAUUAUUACCGUAUUGACCCGAAUAUAAGCCACACUUCCCCCCCAAAUUCCGACAGGGUAAAGUUAAAGUGCAACUUAUAUUCACAACCUUACGCAGCCAGGAGCAGCAAGGAAGGGAGUGGCUUAUAUUCGGGUAUUUUCUCUCUCCCCCCUCCAAUAUUAAAGGUGUGGCUUAUAUUCGGGUGUGGCUUGUAUUCGGGCCAAUACGGUACCAUCUACAAAGGCUCAAAGGGUUUGGGACUAGGCUAUUCAAAGGACCACCUCCUCCCACAUGAACUUGGCCAUCAGCUGCAGAGGUGCCACUCUGCAUUCCACUACCAAGGCAGGUCUGAUGGGGCAGAGAAACAUGACCAACAAUGGACUAUGAAAGCUAAGUAGAACCUCCAUUGCCUCCUGCAGAUGCUGUUUUAUCGGGAGAUCUGUUCUGCACAGUGUUGGAAAGGGGCCUUUAGUGUUGUGGCACCUGCCCCUUGGAAUUCCCCCCAAUUGAACAUUAGACAGGUUCUAUCUCUGCGCUCUCUCUCUCUCUCUCUCUCUCUCUCGUUUGGUGGCAGCUGAAGUCCUACCUCUUUCAGGAAGCCUUUUAAGCGGAGAUCUUUCCUACUCUUCCAUCUGUAUUGGAAUUGCUCCUAAGACGUUGCUGUUGGUUCCUGCCCUGGGCUCCUUUAGAGGAAGGGCGGGAUACAAAUUUUAAAAUAAAAAACAAAAUAAGGAAAACAUUGGGAGAUCUACCAGUUUUCAACGCCUGGGCUUGAUGGUCUGACAGUAUAUGGCAGUUUUAUCUAAUCAUAAGCUUGCAUUAAAAUUGUGGUACAGAGAAUAGUUGUGAUGGCAGUACCAGCUGCUGCUGCUGCUGCUGCGUUCAUCCUCGGAAAUAUAUUUCAUUUUUCUCACGCCCUUCAGGUAUCUUGGCUCCACAGAGCCUGUGUAGGUGGGAGCUAAGGAGGAACCACACCACAAAGCAACUUCAUGGUGCAACACGCCUCAUUGCCUUGUGGGUGGAAAGAUUUGACAAUUCCAGUAUCACCUUUGGAUUCCCCAUGAAAAUGUCUGCAUGAACAUUUUGUGUGGGCAUUUCUCCUAAUAUAUGCAGUUUUGCAAGCAAUUUCCACUAAUAGAAUGCAUAUUUGUACAUUAUUUUCCCUGGUGUAUACAUCUUUGUGACCAUUUUCCCCAACGUUCCUUUUUUUUUUUUGCACACAGUUGGGUUUUUGUUUGUUCAGUAACGACACUGCCAUUUCAUAAAAGUGUGAAAAGUUUAAGGAUAGCCGCCUUUUGGUUCACAUUUAGGUUUGGGAAGUUUCAAUAGAAGUAAAAACUGAACUACAGUGGUACCUUGGGUUAAGAACUUAAUGCAUUCUGGAGGUCAGUUCUUAACCUGAAACUGUUCUUAACCUGAGGUGCCACUUUAGCUAAUGGGGCCUCCUGCUGCCGCUGCACGAUUUCUGUUCUCAUCCUGAAGCAAAGUUCUUAACCCGAGGUACUAUUUCUGGGUUAGCGGACUCUGUAACCUGAAGUGUCUGUAACCCGAGGUACCACUGUACCUUAGGGUAAUGGGGCUGAGCUCUACAUUUGGUGCGUGUACAUGGCUAAACUAUGGAACUGCACUCAGUCAGUGGAAAUGUGGCUACUGAUUUUUACUCACAAUUUGGGGAACUGCAUGCCUCAGUGGCAGAGCAUCUGACUUGCAUGCAGUCGGUCUCAAGUUCAAUCCAUGUUACUUCCAAAUAGGGAGGAGAAUGUCCCUUGUCUGAAGUCCUGCAGCCAUCCAGUGUAAUUUAUUAUUUUAUUAUUAUUUAUUAUGGUUAUAUACUGCUCUUUCUUCCAAUGAGCUUCAGGUGGUUCUUUUCUUCCCCAUUUUAUCCUCACAACAACCCUGUGAGGUAGGUAAGGCUGAGAAAUAGUGACUGGCCCAAGGGCACCCAGCAAGCUUCAUGACUGAGUGGGGAUUCGAACCCUGGUCUCCCAGGUCCAAGUCUUGCCCACCCUUCAUGAGCCGUCCCUGACAAGUGGGUGGCACUGCCUGCCUUUCAUUCACCUCAGAAUGGAGGGCAUUAGGUGACCACACAUUGACAAGGUCAGUGUGGCAGUGAGCCAGUGUGGUGUAGUGGUUAAGGGCGGUAGACUCGUAAUCUGGUGAACUGGGUUCGCUUCCCCGCUCCUCCACAUGCAGCUGCUGGGUGACCUUGGGCCAGUCACACUUCUCUGAAGUCUCUCAGCCCCACUCACCUCACAGAGUGUUCGUUGUGGGGGAGGAAGGGAAAGGAGAUUGUUAGCUGCUUUGAGACUCCUUCGGGUAGUGAUAAAGCGGGAUAUCAAAUCCAAACUCUUCUCCUUCCUCUUGACAUGCGCUCUGAAUUCUUCCUUUCCAACUCCGACUUUAAUUAAAGUUGGGGCCGCAAAAGAUUCCAGACUGUGGCUGCAAAAGAAGAACUCCUGUGCGGCUUUCCUUGUGGAAAGCAGGGCUGGCUUUUGGCACUGAAUUCAGCACAGAAAGAAAACCCUUCUUGUGGCAGGGGUCAGCUGCUGUCAAAAACUUCCAGGUGUAACCGGUCUUGGACAAAUGGGAAAGACACUGAAUGCAAUCCUUACUUUCAGAGGAAUUGGGAGCAAAUGGUAGCCACACCUAGCUUUCUGUGACCUCAGGUGUGGAGCAAGUGAGCUGAGUGUAGGGGAAACAAACAGCCUCACAGGCCAAUCUAGAACUCUUGGAGUGUCAGGAGUGUGUGCAGGAGCCAGGCCCUGUGACCAGUAGGGCUUCACAGGACUGGGGCCUUCCUAAGUUUGUUCUGGAGAGGCAAGGCACGGCCGCACAGGUGAGGCCGCUUGGUAACUCACUGCACCUGGUGGCAAGAGUUUGGAAGGGAUAUAAGGUCAACAUUUCCCUUUGGCUCUUUGCCACAGAAACACGUUUCCUGCCUUGUUGUGUUUGGCUCCUUGCUUCCUGAUCCUCGGACCUUGGCUUCUUGACUCCUUGCUUCUCGACCCUUGACUUCGUGACUCCUUGCUUCUUGACCCUCGGACCCCUGGCUUCUGGACACCUGUUCCUGCUCCCACACUGCCAUCUUGCUCCCGGUCCCGACGUUCUCAGCCGGGACUUCAAUCGCCCGUAGACCAGACCGUGACAUGGAGGCCCAUGGAAUCAUAGAGUUUUGGAAGGUACCCCAAAGCCAUCUAGACCAAACCCCUGCAAUGGAGGAAUCUUUCGCCCAAUGUGGGGUUCAAACCCUCGACCCUGACCUCUAACUGUACCGACUGAGCUAACCAUGAGCUCGAGGUUCUCCCCCGUGGUGCAGAAAAUACUGAACAAGAUGGAACAAUUUGUCUGAAUCUGUUUAAUGCCGUUUCCUGCGCUCCUCCGUGUAUACUUCAUUCGAAUAAUUCUGGCAAAACUUCCAAAUAACUUGUAAAGAAAAUGAAAGUAGGGAAGCCAAGCCAAACCCUGGCAAUUAACUGAGUGAUAUACAAAAUGUAGGCCAAGGUUGUCUCCCUGGUUUGGUCAGGUGUCAGCUUCAGGAAUGUUUUGUGUUCAUAUCAACACCCUACACUAGGUAGUUUGAGCAGGCCUUUGUUUGUACCAGCAACCACUCCAAUAACCAUUCCACAGAAUUUACAACAAUAGCUUUCAAAAGCACCACACACACUCCCGCACGCACAUGGAUUUUUAAUUGGCUGUCGCGCACAUCACUUGCAAAGCUUCCCAGCUAGAACCGAAGGAUUGAGGUACGAUUGUGUUUUGAAGGUCAAAUAAGACAAAUGGCCCAAGGAAGGACACUUUUAUAAUUGGAGCGGGAUAGCGGUUUGGUUAAUUUACAGCUCCUGGUAAUUAGGUUGAUGCCCGAAAUAGCAGAAUACGCAGGCUGGAGGGAGGGGGGAGGGGAUGGGUGGGUCACGGCCUUUUCCUCUGAGUUCCUGCAGUUUUUCAUUUCUUUGCAAACACACAGGAAGAAAGCAACAUGGAGAGGAAGGAUAUAGUCUUGCGUACAUUGCGCCACCGCUAAAGUAGCAGUGUGGAGAAAAAUCAGGCGACCGGAAAGCUACCUUUAAAAAAUAAAUAAAUGUAACCUAACUAAAUCUAAACUUGGCCAUCGAACUGCUGCAUUGCCGGGGGUUGGACUAGAUGACCCUUGGGGUCCCUUCCAACUCUACAAUUCUAUGAAAUUUAAAGUAAAUAAUUAUGCCAUGUUACUAGCAAUGUAGGCUCCCAGAGGAACUUACUCUGGGAGAAGAAGGGCACCCUGUGGCCACAAAAUAGGAUUUCCCCCAGUGCAUACAAAUAAACCCAAUGUCACAGGAGCCUGCCAGUUAGCAAUCAAAGAUGGUGUCAACUCUUUUUUAUAUAUAUACUUUUUUUUAUUAAGAAUUUCAACAUAACAAUUUAUCAAAAAUGUAUCGUCCUCACCCCCCUAUUUCCCCCCCUCCCCAAACCAGAUCCCCACCCUCCUACCCCCACCACCAGACUUCCCCCAGCUCCCCUCUCUGGUUUUUCAGCACAUGUUAAUCUCUGCAUACUAUAAAAUUGUAAAGAUCCUUCAUUUAUCUGUCUAUAUGUUACCAAUAAUAAAUUUGUGUAUGUUUGUUCAAAACCUGCCAAGGAGUCCAGCUCAGUUGGUUGUUUCUUUAAAUACUUUGUAAAAGGUUCCCAUUCUUCUUUAAAGUCACAGUUGUCCUUAUCACACAGUUUGUGUGCCAGUUUCAUCAGUUCCACAUAGUCCAUCAUUUUCUCUUGCCACAGUUCUUUGGUCGGGAUUUCUUCGUUCUUCCAUCCUUGUGCUAUUAAGACUUUUGCCGCCGUUGUCACAUACAUGAAGAUAUUCUUCAAUUUCCUUGGCAGGUCUUUUCCUACAAUCCUGAAAUAUACUCGGAGUCGAGAGUGGAUUUCAUGCUCUUUAUUCAGCUCAUAGUGGUGAGGAGGAAUGAAUGUUUCCCCAAAGUAUCUGCUUUAUAUACAUUAUUUACACAGUGGGCUGCACGUGAUUGGCUAAUUUCGGAAUUCUCCUGUAGGCCAAUAAGGUUGUGGAUUCACUUCCAUCUGGAGCUGGAUUGGGUGGCUCCUGCAGACCAAUCAUACUGCUGUAUUGUUCUAGGACCAAUCAGACUGCUGCAUUUUGGAUCCUAUUCAACUCAGUACAUAACAAAUCCCUAACAGAAAUGUUUCAGGCUUUUUUGCAAAUGUUAGUUGGAACAUUUUCUUCAAGGCGUCAACUGUUUAUGAGCAAAAACGCAAUAUCUAUAUGAUUGCUUCAGAAGGUGGUGGACUUUCCUUCACGAGAAGUUGGUAAGCAGAUGCCGGGUAGUUUCCUAUCAAGGAUUCCGUGCUUUGACUGGGAUUGCUUUGUUCUAUAAAGUCAUGUGAGAUUUCCACGUUAAGGCUAUGUACUUGCAAAAUGGGUAGGGAUUUCAGUGGGUGCAGCUCACAGUGCCUCAGGGGGGUGAACAGGAGCACCUUCCAAGAUUCUCUCAUUUGAGCAGGAGGUUAACAGGAUCCUGGACGCAGAGGUGUGCAUGUCUGCCCGUGUUUUAGGAAGUGGGGAAAACAAGCAUGCCUUGUUGAAAAGGAAUGGCAGAAUAAAUGCCACUGCUUUUCUUUGGUGUGUUUUCCUUCCACUGUGAGACAAAUGGAGGAGCUCUGGAAAUUCUGUACAGUGGUACCUCAGGUUAAGAACUUAAUUCAUUCUGGAGGUCCGUUCUUAACCUGAAACUGUCCUUAACCUGAAGCACCACUUUAGCUAAUGGGGCCUCCUGCUGCUGCCACGCCACUGGAGCACGAUUUCUGUUCUCAUCCUGAAGCAAAGUUCUUAACCCGAGGUACUAUUUCUGGGUUAGCGGAGUCUGUAACCUGAAGCGUCUGUAACCUGAAGCGUCUGUAACCCGAGGUACCACUGUAGUCCCCAAUUCCCUUGAACGGGGAGCUGGAUGGGGGAAUGGGGCAAUCACAACUUUCCCCUGGUAUUGAGUCAAUCCCCCUCCCACACAAGAGCAUUUUGGAGAAUUGUAGAGUUGGAAGGGGGGACCCCAAGCAUCAUCUAGUCCAACCCCUUGCAAUGCAGAAAUCUCAGCUAAAAAGUCCCCAACAGAUGGCCAUCCAACUGCUGCUUAAAAAGCUCCAAUAAAAAGGGGAGUCCUCAGCCUUCCUCAGGAGCAGCUAUAUUUUGACGGCAUUACGUAGUUUUGAAGAACAGUCACAGCAACAUUCUUAAAAUGAACAGCUUAAAAAAAAAUACUGGCAAGCUUAAAAGAAUGUCCAAAUAAGUCCAAACCAGCCUACGCUAUUGGUCAUCAGCUGCUGUGUGCAGCUUAACCAUGUGGUAAGCCUGGCAUCUCCAAGUAGAGAUGGGAAUGUCUGCUCUCUGAAACCCUGGAGAGCUGCUGCCAUACUGAGCUCGAUGGACCAAUUGUCUGAUUCAGCUUCCUAUUUCACCACCAUCCGUCCCACUGAAAGCUAAAAUGGCAGCCCUGCUGUCUUUGGUGGUAAGCAAGACUCCAGGAAAGUGAGGCAAAUAGAUGGAAAGUCUGCUUUGCGGUGAAUUUAAAGGUACAGGGGGACUUUCUGGGUUGUGACCUGGCUACCUUAAAUCCCAGGGAAAUCUAGCUAAAGCAGCAUGGAAGAACAACAUUAAUAUUAUUUUGGAAGCUGCCCAGAGUGGCUGGGGAAGCCCAGCCAGAUGGGCGGGGUAUAAAUAAUAAAUUAUUAUUAUUAUUAUUAUUAUUAUUAUUAUUAUUAUUGUCUCUCUGUGCAUCCUCAUCUUUGCCACAUCUGCCUUUGCACACGCUCUAUCCCUUUCUCUGCUCUUCCUUCUUCGUGUAGGUAAUGCUAUAAAUAGAGAACGCUGUUUGUGGAAGAAAAUAAAUGCCCCAAACAACUGCAUUACAUUUACAAGAUUCUGCUUCCCUGCACAGACAGGAAUAGCCCAAUGCAAAGAACAAGACGUGUAAGAAAACAAAAAGAGAGACAAUGAAGGUGGCAGAG
RNAcentral lists this long non-coding RNA (34665 nucleotides) under Podarcis lilfordi (Lilford's wall lizard). Lineage: Eukaryota; Metazoa; Chordata; Lepidosauria; Squamata; Lacertidae. The record is from RNAcentral.